This 89-nucleotide transfer RNA is filed under the name Actinomycetaceae bacterium. RNAcentral's name for it is "tRNA-Ser". It matches the Rfam family "tRNA". From Rfam's summary of the family: Transfer RNA (tRNA) molecules are approximately 80 nucleotides in length. Their secondary structure includes four short double-helical elements and three loops (D, anti-codon, and T loops). Further hydrogen bonds mediate the characteristic L-shaped molecular structure. tRNAs have two regions of fundamental functional importance: the anti-codon, which is responsible for specific mRNA codon recognition, and the 3' end, to which the tRNAs corresponding amino acid is attached (by aminoacyl-tRNA synthetases). tRNAs cope with the degeneracy of the genetic code in two manners: having more than one tRNA (with a specific anti-codon) for a particular amino acid; and 'wobble' base-pairing, i.e. permitting non-standard base-pairing at the 3rd anti-codon position. Lineage: Bacteria; Bacillati; Actinomycetota; Actinomycetes; Actinomycetales; Actinomycetaceae. The record is from RNAcentral.
GGAGACGUGGCUGAGUGGUCGAAAGCGCUCCCCUGCUAAGGGAGUAGUUGCAUAAAAGCGGCUCGAGGGUUCAAAUCCCUCCGUCUCCG